UGGGGAAUAUUGCACAAUGGGCGCAAGCCUGAUGCAGCCAUGCCGCGUGUAUGAAGAAGGCCUUCGGGUUGUAAAGUACUUUCAGCGAGGAGGAAGGCAUUAAGGUUAAUAACCUUAGUGAUUGACGUUACUCGCAGAAGAAGCACCGGCUAACUCCGUGCCAGCAGCCGCGGUAAUACGGAGGGUGCAAGCGUUAAUCGGAAUUACUGGGCGUAAAGCGCACGCAGGCGGUCUGCAUCAAGUCGGAUCGGUGAAAUCCCCGGGCUCAACCUGGG
RNAcentral lists this ribosomal RNA (275 nucleotides) under uncultured Enterobacteriaceae bacterium. RNAcentral's name for it is "partial 16S ribosomal RNA". It matches the Rfam family "Bacterial small subunit ribosomal RNA", at positions 355 to 618 of the family's 1533-position model. Lineage: Bacteria; Pseudomonadati; Pseudomonadota; Gammaproteobacteria; Enterobacterales; Enterobacteriaceae. The record is from RNAcentral.